Molecule: long non-coding RNA, 640 nt
Organism: Syngnathus acus (greater pipefish)
Lineage: Eukaryota; Metazoa; Chordata; Actinopteri; Syngnathiformes; Syngnathidae
Exons: 2
Source: RefSeq, a predicted model, not a curated record
CAACGGUCUUCUUCCAAGGUUCCCAAAGAGGCAGAGGAGGAGUUGGAGACCAACAAGGCCGCAGGCCGCCAUUCAAUUCAAACUCGACAUCAAAUUUGGACUGUUGGAACUGUGGGAAACGGGGACACUUGGCAAGAGUGUGUCGUCGUGUAAAACAAAACCAAUCAAAGGGCGGAGGAAGAGGCAGAGGAAAAGUCACAUUUACAGCAUGACAAGCUUCCUCCACUUUGACCCCUCAUGCUAAUACAGAGAAAGAAAGAAUAGAUGCCCAUAUGACAGCAAAACAUGUCAUUGUCAGAUUAUUAGAACAUUUUUCGGAUUAUUGGAGCUCCUGUCCAUACAGGGAGUGUGACAAUGCUGUUUGUAUGCCCAAUGACAAGUUACCAGAGAUCAAAUUGUGUGCACACAAAAGUUAAAAUUUGCAAAUCAAGUGGUAAAUAAAUGCAACUUGCUUCUAAAAGAUAAAUAAAAAAAUUAGAAUGUGCUGUCCUCGCGUGAGUGGGCGGGAACCAGCUCAUGAUUGACUGCAGGAAAUGGCCUGCCUGUGACGAAUCAUUGAUGCCGGGCCCCAGCCCUCGCGCGCGAGAGCUGUGCAUGUGUGUGCGUAUGUUAAAAUGAUGAAAUUGGCUAAACCUUUAGU